UACAUUUUUGCCUUUUAAUUUAUUCGCCUGGUAAAUUAAUUACCUUGUAAAUUUAAAAAAAACUUUAAUGCAAACAGAACUAAUGGUUUUAAGCUGGAUGUAAUUGAUCUUCAGAUUCAUUGUGCAUAACAUAGAAAGAAUUAUUUUCCAACAUGAAGCUUUUCAAGUACCUUUUAAGUGGAGCUAGAAACUCUAAAAUGAAGGUUUUCAAUGAUGGCUCACAAACUUGGAAAGAAUUUGAUGGGAUAGCAGCAAUCAUCCGCAGCGUGGGCAUUAACAUUGCUCUCUUCUUAUCUGCCGGACCAUGGAACUUGCCAUAUAACUGGUCUUUCAAAUUUCAACAUAAUAACCCUACAACAGGACAGAAGUUGGAGAUGGAAAUAAACAAAGGAGGCAAAUAAUCGCCUAUGUUUGAUGGUUAAGCUUCGAAGAAGUGCAAUCAUUAUGGACACCAAAUCAAAUUUAAGACAUUGAAAAUUUACAACAAUUAUACAUUGUUCUUACUUUUUGAAAGUAAACUCGCAUUAUUAACCAUGUGCAUUUAAUUUGUUGUUUUACAUAUUUAUUUAGUUAAUUAUAAUUAUUUAGUAUAUGUUUCAGAACUUGUUGUCAAUUUUAGAAAUUGAAAACUGACAAUAAUGGAUUUAAAGAUUUUAAGCAAAGGUGAGGAAGGAAAAAACAAACCAUCGAUUCUAAAGGUACAAGUGGGGUCGUAUCGAAUGAUAGCAAGCGGGAUGGCAGCAACAAUACUUAGAAGUGGCUUUCUAGUAUCUGCAGUGGUAUUGGUUGGUGGAAUUACAUGGAAAGUGUUUCAAACAAGCAAAUAUUUUGUAGCACAAAACCAACUGGAGAAAGUAGAACGCGGUUGAGUUAUGAUGAUAAAAUUUCUUACCUAAUUUCACAGAAGAUUCUUUCUUGUUUGUGUUUUCUUUUAAACUUUAUUUAAAACUUUCAUUUUAAACCUUAUGUAAAAACUCUAAAAACAAAACAAUUGCUUUAAAAAUGAAACAGUAUUUGGUUUAAUAUAAAGUUGGAAAUAUAAAUUGUAUAAAAUUGUGAAACGUAUUUGGUAUUACAUAAGUCGUAGUUGAUUUAUCAUAAAGAAAUAUAUUUUUGUAAUAAAAUCACUGGUGAUCUGCA
This is a non-coding RNA of Ciona intestinalis (vase tunicate), 1140 nucleotides long. NCBI's taxonomy places the organism in Eukaryota, Metazoa, Chordata, Ascidiacea, Phlebobranchia, Cionidae. The record is from RefSeq and is a predicted model, not a curated record.